UACGGAGGGGGCAAGCGUUAUCCGGAUUUACUGGGUUUAAAGGGUGUGUAGGCGGGUUUUUAAGUCAGUGGUGAAAUCUCCGGGCUCAACCUGGAAACUGCCAUUGAUACCAUUAGUCUUGAAUUCUGUUGAGGUGGGCGGAAUAAGUCAUGUAGCGGUGAAAUGCAUAGAUAUGACUUAGAACACCAAUUGCGAAGGCAGCUCACUAAGCAGAGAUUGACGCUGAGGCACGAAAGCGUGGGGAGCAAACAGG
Molecule: ribosomal RNA, 253 nt
Filed under: uncultured bacterium
Lineage: Bacteria
Description: partial 16S ribosomal RNA
Rfam family: Bacterial small subunit ribosomal RNA
Source: RNAcentral